AAUGUUGAAGUUCCACCCUGUUAUGGUUGCUGUCCUGCAGCAUGUAGUAGCAUGUAGCUCAUGUAGCAUGAAGUUUGCCUAUAAAAAGUCUUCUAUGUUGCUUCUUUACAGCUUUUUGGAUAAGUAAUACUAGUGCUCUGCUGUAGGUGCUGCUGGCCUGUGACUGUUAUCAGCUGUUUGACUACAAACUACAUCAAUGUGAAAAUGCAGUUUCCUGUCCAUACAGCCUGGAAGCACUGUGGAGAUCUGCAGGGACUGCUUUACCUCAGCAAAGCAGACAUCUGCUGCUUGUGCUAACAUGCUAAUUCUUGAAACUGUAGAGGUUCCUCCCAAAACGGACUCUGCUGACGAUCACUGAUUCACUUCAGCAAGAGAAUAUUUAGUGAUUGCACAGAUCAGAUGAUGAGAUAAAGCGACAAGAGAUAAAGUUACAGCGUCUUACACCACCUGUAUGACCGUGAACAUUGACUGCAACUGCUGCAGCUGCUGUCCCUGUUGCAUUGGAAAAAAAUGUGAUGAAUAGUUUCAGUAUUGAAAUAAUAUCUGUGUCAGACAGCUUGUAUUGAUGUAGUAAAGCGGCAUGGAGAGAUGGAGUCAUUUAUACCUGAAUGUGUCUCACCAGAUGUAGUUUGUUUGAGCAAUCUGCUGUUAUAAAAGUCACUCUGGUUGCAUUUACAUUUGUUUUUUUUAAUAUAUUGAUCCAAUCUGCUUAAUGGCCAAAGAGUUAAUAGAGUAUUAGAUUGUUUGGAAGCUCCCGUAUGAAUAGAGAAU
This is a long non-coding RNA of Thunnus maccoyii (southern bluefin tuna), 771 nucleotides long. RefSeq lists it as uncharacterized. The transcript has 3 exons. The record is from RefSeq and is a predicted model, not a curated record. NCBI's taxonomy places the organism in Eukaryota, Metazoa, Chordata, Actinopteri, Scombriformes, Scombridae.